RNAcentral lists this non-coding RNA (21 nucleotides) under Caenorhabditis elegans. Lineage: Eukaryota; Metazoa; Nematoda; Chromadorea; Rhabditida; Rhabditidae. The record is from RNAcentral.
UCCUGAUCGCCAAAUUGUUAU